GACAGAGGGUGCAACCGUUGUUCGGAUUUACUGGGCGUAAAGCGCGUGUAGGCGGCUUGGCAAGUCGGAUGUGAAAGCCCACGGCUCAACCGUGGAAGCGCAUCCGAAACGGCCUCGCUCGAGUCUCGGAGAGGAAGGUGGAAUGCUUGGUGUAGAGGUGAAAUUCGUAGAUAUCAAGCAGAACACCUGCGGCGAAGGCGGCCUUCUGGACGAUGACUGACGCUGAGACGCGAAAGCGUGGGGAGCAAACAGG
RNAcentral lists this ribosomal RNA (253 nucleotides) under uncultured bacterium. RNAcentral's name for it is "partial 16S ribosomal RNA". It matches the Rfam family "Bacterial small subunit ribosomal RNA", at positions 524 to 776 of the family's 1533-position model. The record is from RNAcentral.